CCUAACACAUGCAAGUCGAACGGUAACAGGAAUAAGCUUGCUUCUUUGCUGACGAGUGGCGGACGGGUGAGUAAUGUCUGGGAAACUGCCUGAUGGAGGGGGAUAACUACUGGAAACGGUAGCUAAUACCGCAUAACGUCGCAAGACCAAAGAGGGGGACCUUCGGGCCUCUUGCCAUCGGAUGUGCCCAGAUGGGAUUAGCUAGUAGGUGGGGUAAAGGCUCACCUAGGCGACGAUCCCUAGCUGGUCUGAGAGGAUGACCAGCCACACUGGAACUGAGACACGGUCCAGACUCCUACGGGAGGCAGCAGUGGGGAAUAUUGCACAAUGGGCGCAAGCCUGAUGCAGCCAUGCCGCGUGUAUGAAGAAGGCCUUCGGGUUGUAAAGUACUUUCAGCGGGGAGGAAGGGAGUAAAGUUAAUACCUUUGCUCAUUGACGUUACCCGCAGAAGAAGCACCGGCUAACUCCGUGCCAGCAGCCGCGGUAAUACGGAGGGUGCAAGCGUUAAUCGGAAUUACUGGGCGUAAAGCGCACGCAGGCGGUUUGUUAAGUCAGAUGUGAAAUCCCCGGGCUCAACCUGGGAACUGCAUCUGAUACUGGCAAGCUUGAGUCUCGUAGAGGGGGGUAGAAUUCCAGGUGUAGCGGUGAAAUGCGUAGAGAUCUGGAGGAAUACCGGUGGCGAAGGCGGCCCCCUGGACGAAGACUGACGCUCAGGUGCGAAAGCGUGGGGAGCAAACAGGAUUAGAUACCCCUGGUAGUCCACGCCGUAAACGAUGUCGACUUGGAGGUUGUGCCCUUGAGGCGUGGCUUCCGGAGCUAACGCGUUAAGUCGACCGCCUGGGGAGUACGGCCGCAAGGUUAAAACUCAAAUGAAUUGACGGGGGCCCGCACAAGCGGUGGAGCAUGUGGUUUAAUUCGAUGCAACGCGAAGAACCUUACCUGGUCUUGACAUCCACAGAACUUUCCAGAGAUGGAUUGGUGCCUUCGGGAACUGUGAGACAGGUGCUGCAUGGCUGUCGUCAGCUCGUGUUGUGAAAUGUUGGGUUAAGUCCCGCAACGAGCGCAACCCUUAUCCUUUGUUGCCAGCGGUCCGGCCGGGAACUCAAAGGAGACUGCCAGUGAUAAACUGGAGGAAGGUGGGGAUGACGUCAAGUCAUCAUGGCCCUUACGACCAGGGCUACACACGUGCUACAAUGGCGCAUACAAAGAGAAGCGACCUCGCGAGAGCAAGCGGACCUCAUAAAGUGCGUCGUAGUCCGGAUUGGAGUCUGCAACUCGACUCCAUGAAGUCGGAAUCGCUAGUAAUCGUGGAUCAGAAUGCCACGGUGAAUACGUUCCCGGGCCUUGUACACACCGCCCGUCACACCAUGGGAGUGGGUUGCAAAAGAAGUAGGUAGCUUAACCUUCGGGAGGGCGCUUACCACUUUGUGAUUCACGACUGGGGUGAAGUC
RNAcentral lists this ribosomal RNA (1451 nucleotides) under uncultured organism. RNAcentral describes it as "16S ribosomal RNA". It matches the Rfam family "Bacterial small subunit ribosomal RNA". The record is from RNAcentral.